RNAcentral lists this ribosomal RNA (1180 nucleotides) under Corynebacterium striatum. Its description in RNAcentral is "bacterial SSU rRNA". It matches the Rfam family "Bacterial small subunit ribosomal RNA", at positions 19 to 1213 of the family's 1533-position model. Lineage: Bacteria; Bacillati; Actinomycetota; Actinomycetes; Mycobacteriales; Corynebacteriaceae. The record is from RNAcentral.
CUGGCUCAGGACGAACGCUGGCGGCGUGCUUAACACAUGCAAGUCGAACGGAAAGGCCUGCAGCUUGCUGCGGGUACUCGAGUGGCGAACGGGUGAGUAACACGUGGGUGAUCUGCCUUGCACUUCGGGAUAAGCUUGGGAAACUGGGUCUAAUACCGGAUAGGACAGCUGUUUAGUGUCAGUUGUGGAAAGUUUUUUCGGUGCAAGAUGAGCUCGCGGCCUAUCAGCUUGUUGGUGGGGUAAUGGCCUACCAAGGCGUCGACGGGUAGCCGGCCUGAGAGGGUGUACGGCCACAUUGGGACUGAGAUACGGCCCAGACUCCUACGGGAGGCAGCAGUGGGGAAUAUUGCACAAUGGGCGGAAGCCUGAUGCAGCGACGCCGCGUGGGGGAUGAAGGCCUUCGGGUUGUAAACUCCUUUCGACAGGGACGAAGCUUUUGUGACGGUACCUGUAUAAGAAGCACCGGCUAACUACGUGCCAGCAGCCGCGGUAAUACGUAGGGUGCGAGCGUUGUCCGGAAUUACUGGGCGUAAAGAGCUCGUAGGUGGUUUGUCGCGUCGUCUGUGAAAUUCCGGGGCUUAACUCCGGGCGUGCAGGCGAUACGGGCUGACUUGAGUGCUGUAGGGGAGACUGGAAUUCCUGGUGUAGCGGUGAAAUGCGCAGAUAUCAGGAGGAACACCGAUGGCGAAGGCAGGUCUCUGGGCAGUAACUGACGCUGAGGAGCGAAAGCAUGGGUAGCGAACAGGAUUAGAUACCCUGGUAGUCCAUGCCGUAAACGGUGGGCGCUAGGUGUAGGGGGCUUCCACGUCUUCUGUGCCGUAGCUAACGCAUUAAGCGCCCCGCCUGGGGAGUACGGCCGCAAGGCUAAAACUCAAAGGAAUUGACGGGGGCCCGCACAAGCGGCGGAGCAUGUGGAUUAAUUCGAUGCAACGCGAAGAACCUUACCUGGGCUUGACAUAUACAAGACAGGCGUAGAGAUACGUCCUCCCUUGUGGUUUGUAUACAGGUGGUGCAUGGUUGUCGUCAGCUCGUGUCGUGAGAUGUUGGGUUAAGUCCCGCAACGAGCGCAACCCUUGUCUUAUGUUGCCAGCAUUUGGUUGGGGACUCAUGAGAGACUGCCGGGGUCAACUCGGAGGAAGGUGGGGAUGACGUCAAAUCAUCAUGCCCCUUAUGUCCAGGG